GAUAAAGCCAAAUUUGAGGCUUAUCACUGUUAAUGAUAGAAUUAGGUAUAAACCUUAUCU
Molecule: transfer RNA, 60 nt
Filed under: Choroterpides apiculata (nomen nudum)
Lineage: Eukaryota; Metazoa; Arthropoda; Insecta; Diptera; Culicidae
Description: tRNA-Asn
Source: RNAcentral